AGUGAACGCUGGCGGUAGGCCUAACACAUGCAAGUCGAACGGCAGCACAGUAAGAGCUUGCUCUUACGGGUGGCGAGUGGCGGACGGGUGAGGAAUACAUCGGAAUCUACUUUUUCGUGGGGGAUAACGUAGGGAAACUUACGCUAAUACCGCAUACGACCUACGGGUGAAAGCAGGGGAUCUUCGGACCUUGCGCGAUUGAAUGAGCCGAUGUCGGAUUAGCUAGUUGGCGGGGUAAAGGCCCACCAAGGCGACGAUCCGUAGCUGGUCUGAGAGGAUGAUCAGCCACAUUGGAACUGAGACACGGUCCAGACUCCUACGGGAGGCAGCAGUGGGGAAUAUUAGACAAUGGGCGCAAGCGUGAUCCAGCCAUACCGCGUGCGUGAAGAAGGCCUUCGGGUUGUAAAGCCCUUUUGUUGGGAAAGAAAAGCAGCAGGGUAAUACCCCGCUGUGCUGACGGUACCCAAAGAAUAAGCACCGGCUAACUUCGUG
Molecule: ribosomal RNA, 492 nt
Filed under: uncultured bacterium
Lineage: Bacteria
Description: partial 16S ribosomal RNA
Rfam family: Bacterial small subunit ribosomal RNA
Source: RNAcentral